AGUGAACGCUGGCGGUAGGCCUAACACAUGCAAGUCGAACGGCAGCACAGUAAGAGCUUGCUCUUACGGGUGGCGAGUGGCGGACGGGUGAGAAAUACAUCGGAAUCUACUUUUUCUUGGGGGAUAACGUAGGGAAACUUACGCUAAUACCGCAUACGACCUACGGGUGAAAUCAUGGGAUCUUCGGACCUUGCCCGAUUGAAUGAGCCGAUGUCGGAUUAGCUAGUUGGCGGGGUAAAGGACCACCAAGGCGACGAUCCGUAGCUGGUCUGAGAGGAUGAUCAGCCACACUGGAACUGAGACACGGUCCAGACUCCUACGGGAGGCAGCAGUGGGGAAUAUGGGACAAUGGGCGAAAGCCUGAUCCAGCCAUACCGCGUGGGUGAAGAAGGCCUUCGGGUUGUAAAGCCCUUUUGUUGGGAAAGAAAAGCAGCAGGUUAAUACCCCGCUGUUCUGACGGUACCCAAAGAAGAAGCACCGGCUAACCUCGU
Molecule: ribosomal RNA, 491 nt
Filed under: uncultured bacterium
Lineage: Bacteria
Description: partial 16S ribosomal RNA
Rfam family: Bacterial small subunit ribosomal RNA
Source: RNAcentral